Gossypium raimondii (Peruvian cotton) is the source of this 1031-nucleotide long non-coding RNA. RefSeq lists it as uncharacterized. The transcript has 2 exons. The record is from RefSeq and is a predicted model, not a curated record. Lineage: Eukaryota; Viridiplantae; Streptophyta; Magnoliopsida; Malvales; Malvaceae.
CCUACCCGAUUCCCUUUAUUUUCCCCCUAAUUUCCCCAAAUCGGCAGCCCUCUGCAUCCUUGUCGACACACUUUCCCCUUCCACCCUUCCCUCCAAAACCCAAAUUCCUUCAAGCAAAACCCAAACCCUCCUUCAAAUUAUCCUCAAGUUUUCCUUUUUUCUCAUUUUUGGUAUUGCGCAAGUUCCAAAUAUUGUUGGUGUUUUGCCUAUGAAUCCCGGAUAGAAUGAUAAAUUUUAGAGGUAUAUGUUUAGCGAUUUUUAGCAUUGAAGAUGGUGGUUGUCGGGCAGCAGUUUAUGUUUACAUCCGUAUUCCGUAAACGGUUAAAGUGUCCACUCUUUCCUCUCUUUUCUAUCUUCAAUUUUCUCUGAACCUAAACCAACUUUCUUAUUUGGGAUUUAAAUUGAACAUUGCCUUCUUCGCUUGUAUCUCAGAAGUAGGGAUCUAAGGUUAGAGGGUUUGUGUUUAUUCAUACAAUGUGCUAAGCAGUUAUAUGAUUGCUCAUUUUUCAUCUCUCUGCUGUUAGAUUAGGGUAUGAUAAAUCAACUUUAUAUAAAUUUUAAAUUGAAUGUUUCUUCAUCAGUGGUUAGAUUCAGUAUGGAAGAAGAGGUUUGGAGAAUCCGCUGAAGUAGACAAUCUAUAUAUUGUUGAUGUACAAAAAGUACUUCAAAUGGAAGACUUAAAUGAGGAUGGUGUAUGGGUCACUUCAUCAGAUUAUAACUCAUGCAAGAUGGUGUAUGAGACAUAGCAGUCGGACUGACUCUGACUCUAGCCUAUCUAGGGAGCAAAUGAAUCAUGAAACAGUUCCAGCUUUGUUGCGGUAGGUAACAAUAUUUAUUGCUAGUAAUUCCUAGUUGGAAAUCAUGGAAGUAGAGAAAUAUGAAUGGCGAAUCAUAGUUUGUAAAAGGUGAUGGAAUCUGUUUAAGUUCUUAACAUCACCCUUUUAGAGUCUAAAAAUGUCAUCCUAUUGUUCUCUUUGUAACUCAUGGAUCUCCCUUGUUUAUAUUUCAACUAGCAAUUUUCUGAUGUGGUA